AUUGAACGCUGGCGGCAGGCUUAACACAUGCAAGUCGAGCGGGGUGAUGGUGCUUGCAUUAUCACUUAGCGGCGGACGGGUGAGUAAUGCUUAGGAAGCUACCCGACAGAGGGGGAUACCAGUUGGAAACGACUGUUAAUACCGCAUAAUGUCUACGGACCAAAGUGUGGGACCUUCGGGCCACAUGCUGUCGGAUGCGCCUACGUGGGAUUAGCUCGUUGGUGAGGUAAUGGCUCACCAAGGCGACGAUCCCGAGCGGGUUUGCGAGGAUGAUCAGCCACACUGGAACUGAGACACGGUCCAGACUCCUACGGGAGGCAGCAGUGGGGAAUAUUGAACAAUGGGCGCAAGCCUGAUCCAGCCAUGCCGCGUGUGUGAAGAAGGCCUUCGGGUUGUAAAGCACUUUCAGCGAGGAGGAAGGGUUGGUCGUUAAUAGCGGCUAAUCUUGACGUUACUCGCAGAAGAAGCACCGGCUAACUCUGUGCCAGCCGCCGCGGUAA
This 500-nucleotide ribosomal RNA is filed under the name uncultured bacterium. RNAcentral describes it as "partial 16S ribosomal RNA". It matches the Rfam family "Bacterial small subunit ribosomal RNA", at positions 30 to 523 of the family's 1533-position model. The record is from RNAcentral.